GAAGGACCCCCAUAGGCGUCCUUGAUGCCAUAGAAACGAUCGCUGAAACUGCAGAAUUUGAAAACACUUGAAGACGUUUGCUUGUUAUGGCAUAUAUGUGGAAAUUCGCAAAUGAAAGGACCCAAAAUGGCCGCCGUGUUUCUAACUGUAAGCUGCUGAAGGUUCCAGCGUUACUAUGGG
Long non-coding RNA from Lepisosteus oculatus (spotted gar), 180 nucleotides. RefSeq lists it as uncharacterized. The record is from RefSeq and is a predicted model, not a curated record. NCBI's taxonomy places the organism in Eukaryota, Metazoa, Chordata, Actinopteri, Semionotiformes, Lepisosteidae.